Molecule: ribosomal RNA, 292 nt
Filed under: uncultured bacterium
Lineage: Bacteria
Description: partial 16S ribosomal RNA
Rfam family: Bacterial small subunit ribosomal RNA
Source: RNAcentral
GGUGAAAUCUCCGGGCUUAACUCGGAAACUGCCGUUGAUACUCUCUGUCUUGAAUCCCGUGGAGGUGAGCGGAAUACGUCAUGUAGCGGUGAAAUGCUUAGAUAUGACGUAGAACACCAAUUGCGAAGGCAGCUCGCUACACAAAUAUUGACUCUGAGGCACGAAAGCGUGGGGAUCAAACAGGAUUAGAUACCCUGGUAGUCCACGCCCUAAACGAUGGAUACUCGACAUACGCGAUACACAGUGUGUGUCUGAGCGAAAGCAUUAAGUAUCCCACCUGGGAAGUACGACC